ACAAAAUUGCACACCAACAAUGACUUUAAGAUUCUUUUGUAGAUCAAAGAAUGAGAUUUGAAGACAAACUUGAAAAAAAAAAUUUAAGCAUUGGUUUUAUGUUAUUUGAAUCAAUAUUGAGAUUUUGAGAGAUUUUUAAAAUUAAUGAUGUUAGUAGGAUUAGGAUUUGAAAAAUAAAAAUAUAUUUAUAAAUUUGAGGAUUUUUUGAAUUUUGUGGUGUAUGUUCAAUGAAAUUUGAAUAGUGUAUUGGUUUGCUAGUUAUCAAUGUGUUAGAAAUGCAAGUUUUAAGGUCAAUUAAAUAACUAGAUUGAAGUAUAUGAAGGUUUUUGUAGGUUGAAGUCUCAAAAAUUGGAGUUUGAGGGUCAGUGAGUGUUUUUAAGAAAUUCAGCAAUUUGUUAGUUGGAUUAAAGUGAUUUUUUUUUGUAUAGAUACUAGGCUGAAAUAUUUGAGUGGAAUUUGAGAGAAAUUCAAGGAUUCAAAGAAGAGAUAUUAGUUCUGAAAGUUCAGUAUUUAGGUUGGAAUAGGAGGCCAUCUAACACCUAAUUAGAUUAUCUUGCAUUUCUCUCAAUUGGUAAGUGCAAUGGAUUUCAUCUUUCUUAUGCUUGUUUUUAACUAAGAUGUUAAGAAGUGCACAAAUUUUGAGUUGAUUGGUUAGAUUCCAUUUUACUUUAGGAUUAGUCUAGGAUUUGAUUAGACCUUAGAAUGUGGUCUAGGAUUUGGUUAGAAUUAAGAUUUGGUUUAGAACUUGACUAGGGUUUGAAUAAGAUUUGUCUCAAAUUUCAUUAGUGUUCGACGUAAGAUUUGGUUAAGGUUAAUUAGAAUUUUAAUUUAGAUUUGACCUUGAAUUUGGUUAAAAUUUAAUUAGAAUUUUA
RNAcentral lists this long non-coding RNA (872 nucleotides) under Physcomitrium patens. Its description in RNAcentral is "long non-coding RNA (PPAT_LNC002554)". Lineage: Eukaryota; Viridiplantae; Streptophyta; Bryopsida; Funariales; Funariaceae. The record is from RNAcentral.